RNAcentral lists this ribosomal RNA (253 nucleotides) under uncultured bacterium. RNAcentral's name for it is "partial 16S ribosomal RNA". It matches the Rfam family "Bacterial small subunit ribosomal RNA", at positions 524 to 776 of the family's 1533-position model. The record is from RNAcentral.
UACGUAGGCAGCGAGCGUUGUUCGGAAUUACUGGACGUAAAGAGUGUGUAGGCGGUGCUCUAAGUUCGGUGUGAAAUCUCCCGGCUUAACUGGGAGGGUGCGCCGGAAACUGGAGUGCUCGAGCGUGGGAGAGGAAAGCGGAAUUCCUGGUGUAGCGGUGAAAUGCGUAGAUAUCAGGAGGAACACCUGCGGUGUAGACGGCUUUCUGGACCAUUGCUGACGCUGAGACACGAAAGCGUGGGUAGCAAACAGG